This 497-nucleotide ribosomal RNA is filed under the name uncultured bacterium. Its description in RNAcentral is "partial 16S ribosomal RNA". It matches the Rfam family "Bacterial small subunit ribosomal RNA", at positions 28 to 507 of the family's 1533-position model. The record is from RNAcentral.
GAUGAACGCUGGCGGCGUGCCUAAUACAUGCAAGUCGAGCGAACGGACGAGAAGCUUGCUUCUCUGAUGUUAGCGGCGGACGGGUGAGUAACACGUGGAUAACCUACCUAUAAGACUGGGAUAACUUCGGGAAACCGGAGCUAAUACCGGAUAAUAUUUUGAACCGCAUGGUUCAAAAGUGAAAGACGGUCUUGCUGUCACUUAUAGAUGGAUCCGCGCUGCAUUAGCUAGUUGGUAAGGUAACGGCUUACCAAGGCAACGAUGCAUAGCCGACCUGAGAGGGUGAUCGGCCACACUGGAGCUGAGACACGGUCCAGACUCCUACGGGAGGCAGCAGUAGGGAAUCUUCCGCAAUGGGCGAAAGCCUGACGGAGCAACGCCGCGUGAGUGAUGAAGGUCUUCGGAUCGUAAAACUCUGUUAUUAGGGAAGAACAUAUGUGUAAGUAACUGUGCACAUCUUGACGGUACCUAAUCAGAAAGCCACGGCUAACUACGCG